AGCCCACUUGUCCCUUCUCCCUUCCUCGGCUUCGGAUUUUCCCUCUACCUUUGGACGCCAUCGCCGUCGCCGUCGCGGCGGCAAACCCCCAAAAAUGGCGCCUCCUCCCCUAGACGACCUCACGCACCUGCUCGCCGAGGUGGCCUCCCACCUCUCCCGCCCUCCCGGCGGCGCGGGCCCCUCCUCCGCGGCCGGCGACGCGCUCUCCGCCAACGUAUCCUCCCUCGCGGCGGCCCUCAACCCCCGCGCCGCCGCCCCUGCCUCCUCCGGAACCAGGGUCCUCGACGCCGCGCUCUCCCUCAUGUGCUUCGACCCACAGGAGGUGGAUAGGGCUCGCCUGGACUGCCUCGUCCGCACCGCCGUCUCCGCGCUCUCCGGCCCGGCCACGUGCCGAGUGGCCCGGACCGACGACCGCGCCGAGAUGCUCUGCGUCGGGAGCUCCGUCUCGCCCCGGGACUGCCGCGAGCUGGUCCGCUCCUGCGCCGCCCUCGUCGAGAAAUUGGGUGGCCGUGAUGUUACGGGGCAUUCCUAUGAUCUGUUGCAUGCUGCUGUGAAAACGGCGCUGUUAUCCCCUCGUUACCAGUGUCUCUUUCCUUCGCCAUAUUACAGAGAAGAUGGAGAAAGCAGUUGCGAGAUGGGUACCAUUUCUCUGGAUGUAACAACUCAUCCAUCUUAUCAAGUGCUUCCCAGUGAUGGCUCAAUCCCGCCGAGGGCCCUUUUGUGGCAUUACGACCCAUCAAUUCUGAAACAUGAUCUUUCAGAGAUGCUACGAGAAGCAAUCACAAGGCCUUUGCUUUGUCUGAGAAAAGAAUUACAUGAUCGGGUAGCAUGGCGUGUGAUUGUAAUAUGCUUAGUUUGCUCCCCACCAGCGUUCUUGGAGAUGCGGUCAUUAUUCCAUAUAUGGUUUCUUGCGACGGGUAUGGGUUCUGUGCUAGGACUUUGCACAGCAGUGGUAUCAUCAGUAAUAGAUCUUCUUCUCGAGCCUAUGGGAUGGGGAAUAUCCAUGGAACUGGGACAGAAAUUUCCCUUUACACAUGCUUAUUUCCCAAGCCAACAAAGGGAUUUGCUUGCCAUACUAACUGGACCCAUAUCAUGCAGACGAUUUUUGGAUCUUGUUUCUUACAUAGAAGCUAUGGUUUUCUUGGGUAAAACAAGCAGCGACAACUCUUCAUGGAAAAACAUACAAUCACAACCACCAAAAGGGCCACACUUUGGCAAGAAACAACCAUCAAAAGGAUUGGUCAAAUUCAAAUACAGUUCUGCUUGGUUGACAAUUACGAACUUCCCUAUCUGGUUCAAUUUUGCCACUGCUCUACUAUUUCACCAGGAAGGUUCACAAGGUUAUUUAUCAGAAGUAUUAUCUGAGGAGAAAACUGCUGAAUCAAUAAGCGAUAUCAGUGUUGCUCAGAGGGCAGCAUUUUACCUUUCGUGGGUAUUAUGCCCUUCUAAUGUUGAUGAAUGCCAGUUGCUAGCUAAAAAUAUGGUCGAGUUAUCACAUUCUUGGGCCAGGAACAACAAAAGACGCCCAAGUUAUGCACACCAUGCCAGUACAGUAAAUCACAGGAGGAAACUGCGAGUACCCACAGUUGGGGAUAAUGUGUCAACCAACCCUGUCAGUUCCCUUAUCAAAGAUUUUGAUGAUCGCUGUGUGAAGUUGUGUCGCAUAAGUGCUGUCAGUCCGGUGCAAGGUGCAGAACAAUUAGAUAUCCCUCUCUCAUGCCCUAAUUUUCUGCAUUUACGGGUUCCUUUAGGGAUGUUGCUUGUGUCCUCUGCUUGUAUUAGUGAGCAAGACUGUAACGUGCUUCUGCACUACGCAAGCACUGGUCUGGUUAUGGAGUCAAAGGAAGGGCAGACAAAAAGGAAAGAUCAGGCUGGCAAUGAUGUUUUUUCAUCUAGUCGUGGAGGUUCUACUGAAAGACGGGCUUUAAGUGGUGCAUGUCUCAUCUUUGGCUGGCUUGACAUUAUUGAGGAUAUGUCUGCAGUGAUCUUUGAAUGUGAAGAUACAUGUCGUCAUUUUGUCAGUCAACUCAGAACCAAGACAGGCCCAUACGUGCUGAAGUGUGUAAAUUUAUUGCUGAAUGAGGCGGGUCAUGAUAAAGAUUUUGUAAUCGAUCUUCGCAACAGAUUGUUAAACUGGACUAAUAAAGGGCAGCGUUUUGAUGGUUGUGAGGCAUUCAAAGACGUUAUCGUUCAAAUGAACGCAAAAAUUCAGCCCUCUUCAUAGCAGUGAUCAGGGAUUUUAUGUAACUGUGAUUGGUCCGGAUGGGUUCCUGGUCUCCUUUUGGUUACUGUACUGCUGGACGUGAACUGUGGAGUUAGAACAUAUCCAUUCAGCUCUUGAUUGCAGACCACCAAGAAGGAAAAAGUCCAAUAAAUAAAUAAAUUAAGGAAACUUCAUAUAUUAUAUCAGACGCAAAAAAUGGAAUCACAGUUUGAUUUGGUUUGUUAGUGCUAUUUGUGCCAUACAGCAGUUCCAGGUAAUUUAUUUCUGAAUUUAGUUUUCUUGAGUUAAUGUUUCCUCUUGAUUAUAUAUUUCAACUUUGUUACUCAGCAAUUGGAUAUGGUCAACUAAGAUAUUGAUAUGUUUGCACAGCCUAUUUAGUAGAGCUUGUGACCACACCGAAGAACCUUUUUUAUGUAUGCUUCUCUUGUUACGUAAGUACAGUAGAAAAACUUAUGAAUGACAAUACUUACCUCUCGAUCCUAUUAUUAAGGUAUCUGGAUAUGAUGGACAAAGAUAUAAUAAUAUGUUUAUUUUGUAGGGCAUAGUUUUUCUGUAAUACUUUUAUACUUAUAUGUAUGCAGAGAGAAUACAACAUUUCAAAAGUUUGCAUCCUCCUCUACUUUACAAUUCUUGGAAAGUACAGUCCAUUAACUUUGGAUUUAAGAUCUAACUGCUCUUUUUAUCUAAAUGUCACACAACUGGGGUUAUUAUGUAGCUCGUACUUGCAUGCUUUGAAAGCCCUAGCCGAUCUGCUUUUUUGAGUUAGGCGAUCUUUUAUUGUUAGUCAACAUUCGGAUACAUAUCAAUUUUUAGAAUAGUAGCUAUUCUGACCAAGUUGCACAUAUUAUGUGGCCGAAAUGCCAUUCAGCAAUACAUCAAAAUCACAAUUAUAGUAGCUGCUUGAUUUUGCUUGUUAAGGAAAAAUGCAUGUGCAACCGCAGUGCCAAAUAUGUUUGUGGAGCAGUGCCUGGCUGCACAAGUUGCACAUUAAUGUACGCAGCGACCGGUGCCACUUGUAACCGUUCAUAUCUGGGCAGCUGCUGCAUCACAUCGAUCGUGUCCGAAAGACUAGGAACCAUUAACUGUACUCUGUAUAUCCCAUGGUUAAGGUUCACCCCGUAUUAAUCAGUGACGUCGACACAUGGAUGACGGCCAUUCAAGCAUGCACUUACUUUGGGCAGUCUUAAGAAAAAGACACCCACAUCUUGAACAUAUGUUUAUAUUGCAAAACAAUUUCUCAAACCCAAUGAAACUCUUCUUUUUUAUUUUUAUGGAUUGACUGGUCGAAAACAAACAUUAUUUUUUGCUUGUUUGUUCGAAGCAUUUUUGAAAAGUUGUUGUCAAAGUUUUAAUUUCUUUUACCAAAAGUACUUCUAAAAUUCCAUGCUUGGUGUGUAGCCGAUCUAAUAAAUUCUACUCCAAGUUCAUCUUGUUUUUAGUCAGUUAGUGUGGCACAGCCUUGCAGGUAGGUAAUUAGGGCAUCAUUAGUACACAAUAGCACCACUGAAGACGCCCUGGAGCCUACCUGCAUAGCGAUGCAACAAGCUGGACGGGUGGCAAUUAAACAAGGGAACCACUCCCUCCGUUCGGAAUU
Molecule: RNA transcript, 3818 nt
Organism: Triticum aestivum (bread wheat)
Lineage: Eukaryota; Viridiplantae; Streptophyta; Magnoliopsida; Poales; Poaceae
Exons: 7
Source: RefSeq, a predicted model, not a curated record